RNAcentral lists this small RNA (96 nucleotides) under Klebsiella pneumoniae. RNAcentral describes it as "partial RtT sRNA". It matches the Rfam family "RtT RNA", at positions 1 to 94 of the family's 130-position model. From Rfam's summary of the family: This family represents a bacterial cis-regulatory element known as RtT RNA. The exact function of RtT is unknown although it is thought that it may be involved in changing the cellular response in relation to amino acid starvation. Lineage: Bacteria; Pseudomonadati; Pseudomonadota; Gammaproteobacteria; Enterobacterales; Enterobacteriaceae. The record is from RNAcentral.
UGUUUGCACUUAGCGGGAAGGGUAAGAACCUUCGACUAAGGUUCGACUCGAGCGCCAGCGAGAGAACGUUGCCACAGGCAACGGCCCGAAGGGCGC